Hyla sarda is the source of this 1210-nucleotide long non-coding RNA. RefSeq lists it as uncharacterized. NCBI's taxonomy places the organism in Eukaryota, Metazoa, Chordata, Amphibia, Anura, Hylidae. The transcript has 4 exons. The record is from RefSeq and is a predicted model, not a curated record.
GACUGAUUGCUAUAAAACCAUUGCUAAGCAGUGCAGAGCAAGAACUGUCUGUAUGGCAGCAAACGGGGGAUUGGGGCAUAAAUGAAGACCAGCUCACCGCCUUGUAGAUUCUUUGUAUGGGGGAACUUCAAUUGUCUUUAGGAAUCAUGGAACGGAUAUCCAAGCCGCAUGCUUGGUAUGAACAGGUCCUUAACAAAAAUCGUGUAGAAUUCCAGCUUCCAAAGAUAUUUUUUAAAAAUUGAUUAAUUUUUAAAAAAUUUAUUAAAAAUGAAUGAAAAAAUUAAAACCAAUAUAAGGUGGUUUAAAAAGCAUAGCAGAAACUCUGAUUCAUUUCGAAGCAUCAUGGUUCUUGGCACAGCACUGUUUGCCACUUGCAUCCUUUUAUACUCUGAACAAGACAUGAAAUGAACACACACAUGCCUGGAUAUGGGAAUGCCUUUCAUUGAUGGAAGUUCCGGAGGUGAGAACAUGACGUGAACCACCAGUACUGCCUAGGAGGUCCUCUUGGCUUCUUCCUCUCCCUGUGACCACCGGAUGAAGACUCACCCUGAACAACAAGGUUGCCACAUUGUGGGUCAUUGGCCUCCUGCAGCACCUGAUUCAACCUUACGGCAAGAAAAUGUCUGGAAUUCUUUGAGAUUGUCAUGGAAUCCUUACACUUUCCUGUAAUAUCAUACUUCUGCUCUGACAAUAGACAUCAAUCAUAGAUCACUUGUGUCUGACGGACUUUACAAAUUGUGACAAAAGAAAGAUAUAUAUUCUAUGGGCUGCUUAUGGGCAACUGAAAUGUAUGAAAGGGAUUAUCCAGCACCAAAAAAACUGCUAAUUUCUCUCUUCUGUCCACAGGCUUUGUAUGAUAUUACAACUUUUGCACCAUUCACUUCAAUGGAACUGAGCUACAAAACCACACACAGCCAGCAGAUAAAUGUAAUGCAGAUUUCUGAAGACAUCAUGUCUGUUUUUCUAAUGCUGGAUAGCCCUUUUAAUAUAUCUUAUAGGACCUCUUUACACAGUGGAUUUUUUUUGCUAGAAAACCACCACCAAAUGUACAGAAGAAAUCGGAGGCAUAUGCUCGAAUUUUUUAGGUGAAUUUUGCUGUGGUUAUGGACACAGAAAAAAAGGUUAAUCCGCGUGCUUUUAAUUUGAUAAGGUUUCUGUGUGAAAACAUGUUAAAAAUGUACAUGCAUCAUAAAAGUCUGCAAUGUGUAGU